UACGGGGGGGGUAAGCGUUGUUCGGAAUUACUGGGCGUAAAGGGCUCGUAGGCGGCCAACUAAGUCAUACGUGAAAUCCCUCAGCUUAACUGGGGAACUGCGUGUGAUACUGGAUGGCUUGGAUUUGGGAGAGGGAUGCGGAAUUCCUGGUGUAGCGGUGAAAUGCGCAGAUAUCAGGAAGAACACCCGUGGCGAAGGCGGCUCUCUGGGACGGUACUGACGCUGAGACGCGAAAGCGUGGGGAGCGAACAGG
RNAcentral lists this ribosomal RNA (253 nucleotides) under uncultured bacterium. Its description in RNAcentral is "partial 16S ribosomal RNA". It matches the Rfam family "Bacterial small subunit ribosomal RNA", at positions 524 to 776 of the family's 1533-position model. The record is from RNAcentral.